Molecule: non-coding RNA, 497 nt
Organism: Arachis ipaensis
Lineage: Eukaryota; Viridiplantae; Streptophyta; Magnoliopsida; Fabales; Fabaceae
Source: RefSeq, a predicted model, not a curated record
UUCCUACUUUCCAUCAACUGCAUUUCACAAAGCCGCUGGAGGAUUUGGAGGACUCAAUUCUAUCACAGAUCUGUCAUCCUAAUCCUUUAUCCAAACCCUGCUGGUGAUUUCACUUUGCUCAUUGGUGAUUGGUUCAAGACCAACCACAAGACAUUAAGGCAGACUUUGGAUUAAAGCAAGAAUUGACAAAAUUAGCAACAACGAAUAUAAAAUCACAGAAAUUAAAGUAAAUCACAUUAAUUACAGAAAUCACUACAGUGCUAUAAUAAUUAAAAGAAAUCACAGAGGGGGAGUUACCGGAAGGGAGAAGCUGACGACGGUGACAAAGAACGAGAAAGACGGCGAUGCUCUCUGGAACGAGGAAGACGGCGACGCUCUCUGACGCGACGACGUUCUCCUCGGCUGGGUGAGGCACGUGAGGAAUGCUGCGGUGACCUUAGCAGGGCGCCGUGGAGGAAAAGAAGGAAGAGGAUGGAGAAGGGAGCUGUCGAAGAAAA